RNAcentral lists this ribosomal RNA (876 nucleotides) under uncultured Peptococcaceae bacterium. RNAcentral describes it as "bacterial SSU rRNA". It matches the Rfam family "Bacterial small subunit ribosomal RNA", at positions 108 to 994 of the family's 1533-position model. The record is from RNAcentral. Lineage: Bacteria; Bacillati; Bacillota; Clostridia; Eubacteriales; Peptococcaceae.
GAUUGUAACGCGUGGAUAACCUACCUCAAGGACUGGGAUAACACCGGGAAACUGGUGCUAAUACCGGAUAAGCUCAUCGGGGCACAUGCUUUGAUGAGGAAAGGAGAAAUCCGCUUUGAGAUGGAUCCGCGUCCCAUUAGCUAGUUGGCGGUGUAACGGACCACCAAGGCUUCGAUGGGUAGCCGGCCUGAGAGGGUGGACGGCCACACUGGAACUGACACACGGUCCAGACUCCUACGGGAGGCAGCAGUGGGGAAUCUUCCGCAAUGGGCGAAAGCCUGACGGAGCAACGCCGCGUGAAUGAUGAAGGCCUUCGGGUUGUAAAAUUCUGUCUUCAGGGAAGAAAAAAAUGACGGUACCUGAGGAGGAAGCCCCGGCUAACUACGUGCCAGCAGCCGCGGUAAUACGUAGGGGGCGAGCGUUGUCCGGAAUCACUGGGCGUAAAGGGCGCGUAGGCGGUUUCUUAAGUCAGAGGUGAAAACUAUGGGCUCAACCCAUAGCCUGCCUUUGAAACUGGGAGACUUGAGGACAGGAGAGGGGAGUGGAAUUCCCAGUGUAGCGGUGAAAUGCGUAGAUAUUGGGAGGAACACCAGUGGCGAAGGCGGCUCUCUGGCCUGUAACUGACGCUGAGGCGCGAAAGCGUGGGGAGCGAACGGGAUUAGAUACCCCGGUAGUCCACGCCGUAAACGAUGGGUGCUAGGUGUAGGAGGUAUCGACCCCUUCUGUGCCGUAGUUAACAUAAUAAGCACCCCGCCUGGGGAGUACGGCCGCAAGGUUGAAACUCAAAGGAAUUGACGGGGGCCCGCACAAGCGGUGGAGCAUGUGGUUUAAUUCGACGCAACGCGAAGAACCUUACCAGGGUUUGACAUCUUCUGA